Non-coding RNA from Streptomyces albus, 75 nucleotides. It matches the Rfam family "ASpks TB sRNA". The record is from Rfam. NCBI's taxonomy places the organism in Bacteria, Bacillati, Actinomycetota, Actinomycetes, Kitasatosporales, Streptomycetaceae.
CUUCAGCGCGCCCAGCCACAGCGGCCGGUCGGCCGCGCGGCCCUGGCCGUAGGUGGCCAUCAGCGCCUGGGCCUC